RNAcentral lists this long non-coding RNA (200 nucleotides) under Elaeis guineensis (African oil palm). Its description in RNAcentral is "long non-coding RNA (EGUI_LNC064197)". Lineage: Eukaryota; Viridiplantae; Streptophyta; Magnoliopsida; Arecales; Arecaceae. The record is from RNAcentral.
UUCUACACAAAGAUAAAAAAAUAAAAAAAUUAGUAAACUAAAUUUAUAAAAAAAUUAAAGAAAUCAAAUAUUAAAAUUGGUGCCUUCCCCGGCAGUGAUGUCAAAAAUUGAUACGGUCAAGAUGUUGUCAUUAGGACAUCGUGAUUAUCAAUCAAAUUUUGAUUUUAAUAAAAAUUAAAAUACAUAAAAAGUAGUGAGUC